This 46-nucleotide non-coding RNA is filed under the name Drosophila guanche. It matches the Rfam family "Histone 3' UTR stem-loop". From Rfam's summary of the family: The mRNAs of metazoan histone genes lack a poly-A tail. 3' end processing occurs at a site between a highly conserved stem-loop (modelled by this family) and a purine rich region around 20 nts downstream (the histone downstream element, or HDE). The record is from RNAcentral. Lineage: Eukaryota; Metazoa; Arthropoda; Insecta; Diptera; Drosophilidae.
CAAUCGGUCCUUUUCAGGACCACAAAAUAAUCUAAAAGAGAAGACA